RNAcentral lists this ribosomal RNA (2908 nucleotides) under Escherichia coli O111:H8 str. CVM9602. Its description in RNAcentral is "bacterial LSU rRNA". It matches the Rfam family "Bacterial large subunit ribosomal RNA". Lineage: Bacteria; Pseudomonadati; Pseudomonadota; Gammaproteobacteria; Enterobacterales; Enterobacteriaceae. The record is from RNAcentral.
GGUUAAGCGACUAAGCGUACACGGUGGAUGCCCUGGCAGUCAGAGGCGAUGAAGGACGUGCUAAUCUGCGAUAAGCGUCGGUAAGGUGAUAUGAACCGUUAUAACCGGCGAUUUCCGAAUGGGGAAACCCAGUGUGAUUCGUCACACUAUCAUUAACUGAAUCCAUAGGUUAAUGAGGCGAACCGGGGGAACUGAAACAUCUAAGUACCCCGAGGAAAAGAAAUCAACCGAGAUUCCCCCAGUAGCGGCGAGCGAACGGGGAGGAGCCCAGAGCCUGAAUCAGUGUGUGUGUUAGUGGAAGCGUCUGGAAAGGCGCGCGAUACAGGGUGACAGCCCCGUACACAAAAAUGCACAUGCUGUGAGCUCGAUGAGUAGGGCGGGACACGUGGUAUCCUGUCUGAAUAUGGGGGGACCAUCCUCCAAGGCUAAAUACUCCUGACUGACCGAUAGUGAACCAGUACCGUGAGGGAAAGGCGAAAAGAACCCCGGCGAGGGGAGUGAAAAAGAACCUGAAACCGUGUACGUACAAGCAGUGGGAGCACAGAGCAAUCUGUGUGACUGCGUACCUUUUGUAUAAUGGGUCAGCGACUUAUAUUCUGUAGCAAGGUUAACCGAAUAGGGGAGCCGAAGGGAAACCGAGUCUUAACUGGGCGUUAAGUUGCAGGGUAUAGACCCGAAACCCGGUGAUCUAGCCAUGGGCAGGUUGAAGGUUGGGUAACACUAACUGGAGGACCGAACCGACUAAUGUUGAAAAAUUAGCGGAUGACUUGUGGCUGGGGGUGAAAGGCCAAUCAAACCGGGAGAUAGCUGGUUCUCCCCGAAAGCUAUUUAGGUAGCGCCUCGUGAAUUCAUCUCCGGGGGUAGAGCACUGUUUCGGCAAGGGGGUCAUCCCGACUUACCAACCCGAUGCAAACUGCGAAUACCGGAGAAUGUUAUCACGGGAGACACACGGCGGGUGCUAACGUCCGUCGUGAAGAGGGAAACAACCCAGACCGCCAGCUAAGGUCCCAAAGUCAUGGUUAAGUGGGAAACGAUGUGGGAAGGCCCAGACAGCCAGGAUGUUGGCUUAGAAGCAGCCAUCAUUUAAAGAAAGCGUAAUAGCUCACUGGUCGAGUCGGCCUGCGCGGAAGAUGUAACGGGGCUAAACCAUGCACCGAAGCUGCGGCAGCGACGCUGAUGCGUUGUUGGGUAGGGGAGCGUUCUGUAAGCCUGUGAAGGUGUGCUGUGAGGCAUGCUGGAGGUAUCAGAAGUGCGAAUGCUGACAUAAGUAACGAUAAAGCGGGUGAAAAGCCCGCUCGCCGGAAGACCAAGGGUUCCUGUCCAACGUUAAUCGGGGCAGGGUGAGUCGACCCCUAAGGCGAGGCCGAAAGGCGUAGUCGAUGGGAAACAGGUUAAUAUUCCUGUACUUGGUGUUACUGCGAAGGGGGGACGGAGAAGGCUAUGUUGGCCGGGCGACGGUUGUCCCGGUUUAAGCGUGUAGGCUGGUUUUCCAGGCAAAUCCGGAAAACUAAGGCUGAGGCGUGAUGACGAGGCACUACGGUGCUGAAGCAACAAAUGCCCUGCUUCCAGGAAAAGCCUCUAAGCAUCAGGUAACAUCAAAUCGUACCCCAAACCGACACAGGUGGUCAGGUAGAGAAUACCAAGGCGCUUGAGAGAACUCGGGUGAAGGAACUAGGCAAAAUGGUGCCGUAACUUCGGGAGAAGGCACGCUGAUAUGUAGGUGAAGUCCCUCGCGGAUGGAGCUGAAAUCAGUCGAAGAUACCAGCUGGCUGCAACUGUUUAUUAAAAACACAGCACUGUGCAAACACGAAAGUGGACGUAUACGGUGUGACGCCUGCCCGGUGCCGGAAGGUUAAUUGAUGGGGUCAGCGCAAGCGAAGCUCUUGAUCGAAGCCCCGGUAAACGGCGGCCGUAACUAUAACGGUCCUAAGGUAGCGAAAUUCCUUGUCGGGUAAGUUCCGACCUGCACGAAUGGCGUAAUGAUGGCCAGGCUGUCUCCACCCGAGACUCAGUGAAAUUGAACUCGCUGUGAAGAUGCAGUGUACCCGCGGCAAGACGGAAAGACCCCGUGAACCUUUACUAUAGCUUGACACUGAACAUUGAGCCUUGAUGUGUAGGAUAGGUGGGAGGCUUUGAAGUGUGGACGCCAGUCUGCAUGGAGCCGACCUUGAAAUACCACCCUUUAAUGUUUGAUGUUCUAACGUUGACCCGUAAUCCGGGUUGCGGACAGUGUCUGGUGGGUAGUUUGACUGGGGCGGUCUCCUCCUAAAGAGUAACGGAGGAGCACGAAGGUUGGCUAAUCCUGGUCGGACAUCAGGAGGUUAGUGCAAUGGCAUAAGCCAGCUUGACUGCGAGCGUGACGGCGCGAGCAGGUGCGAAAGCAGGUCAUAGUGAUCCGGUGGUUCUGAAUGGAAGGGCCAUCGCUCAACGGAUAAAAGGUACUCCGGGGAUAACAGGCUGAUACCGCCCAAGAGUUCAUAUCGACGGCGGUGUUUGGCACCUCGAUGUCGGCUCAUCACAUCCUGGGGCUGAAGUAGGUCCCAAGGGUAUGGCUGUUCGCCAUUUAAAGUGGUACGCGAGCUGGGUUUAGAACGUCGUGAGACAGUUCGGUCCCUAUCUGCCGUGGGCGCUGGAGAACUGAGGGGGGCUGCUCCUAGUACGAGAGGACCGGAGUGGACGCAUCACUGGUGUUCGGGUUGUCAUGCCAAUGGCACUGCCCGGUAGCUAAAUGCGGAAGAGAUAAGUGCUGAAAGCAUCUAAGCACGAAACUUGCCCCGAGAUGAGUUCUCCCUGACUCCUUGAGAGUCCUGAAGGAACGUUGAAGACGACGACGUUGAUAGGCCGGGUGUGUAAGCGCAGCGAUGCGUUGAGCUAACCGGUACUAAUGAACCGUGAGGCUUAACCUUAC